This 5608-nucleotide long non-coding RNA is filed under the name Ananas comosus (pineapple). RNAcentral describes it as "long non-coding RNA (ACOM_LNC008195)". The record is from RNAcentral. Lineage: Eukaryota; Viridiplantae; Streptophyta; Magnoliopsida; Poales; Bromeliaceae.
GUGCCUGCAGUGUGAUAGCAACAGAAGGCCUUCAAUGUCUACAGUGGUGAAGGUUUUGGAAGGUGCGAUGGGCGUGGAAACGAACCUUGAGUAUAAUUUUGUAGCUACUGGUACUCCAAUACCUAGCAAAGAUGAUUGUGCGGGUUCUUCAUUUGUUCCUCGUGCGUCUCUUUUGUCAGGGCCUAGGUAAAAAUAUAAUUUCUGUAUAUAAGCCUGUAAUUGUACUUGCUGGGUAGUUACAUUUGUAAUCAGAAAACUAAUUUUCUACAUUAUAUGUUAUGUCUUCCAAAAGUAGGCAUCAUGUAACCUCUCAUGCAUAAUGUUAUAUAAAUUUGGCCCAUUUAUCCAUCGUGUUUACCACAGUUUGCUAAGGAAUAGAAGGCAGCCAAUUAAGUUCACUAUUUUAAAAAUAAACAAAAUUUCUUUGAACCUUUCGAAAUAUAAAAUUAAAUGUAUUUAGACACCAUAGUUCUAAAUCAUUAAGGCAAAAUAUUAAGCUCGGAGGUGUAGGCCCAUUUAAAUAAAUAGGAAGAAAGCUUGAACCCCUUGAUCUUUAAAUUAGUUAUAGAGCACUUUACUAUUACACUGUUUUUAUUUGGGCAAAAGGUCAACUGAAGAAAAUUAUGAGCUGCCAAUUUUGUGGAAAAUAUCCCUUUUAAGACAAUUAUAAUGAAGAAAACUUGAGCGAGGAGUAAAAUGACCAGAAUUAUUAGGUCGGGGGAGAUUCUGUAAAAUUUGAUUACCGUAGCAGCAUGUUGGUGGUUAAUCUGGAAGGAAAGAAAUAACGUGAUUUUUAAAAAUCACUUUACUGACCCUCUCUUCGUAGUCGGCCAUAUCAAGGAGUUGGUAAGAGAGUGGAGGGACUUUUGUUGAGCUGAAUAAUCCGUCGAUAAAUUUGAAUUCGUUUUAGAUCUAUCCUAAAAGAAAUGAUCCAACUAAAAGCAAUAUAGAUAAAAAAAAAUGCCAAGUCUAUAGCCCAAAGACGAUUAAAGGAAUAGAAACUUCCAUCCAAGAGUUAAAAUCUUCUUCUCUAGGCUUUUAAAAAAUCAUUUUAAGUAUUUGUAUUAAAAAAAAUAAAAAAUGACAAAAUUAUCGAAGAAAAGACGGCCCUUGUAUAAUAACAUUAUAAGAUCAUAAUUUUAUUUGAGUUACAAGGCUCGUGUUACUCAAUAAGAAAAAUAUACUGCUUCACACAUAAAAAAAAAUUAACACGGGGAUCAUUUUUCUCACAACAGAUCUAAAACAUAUUUAAAUUUACAAAAAAUAUUAAUUUAAUUUUUAAAAAAAACAUAUAUAAAUAAAUAUAUCACAGCAUGUCGGAAGUUUCUUGAUGGAGCUUGGAGCUCUCCACUCAACUAUUGUGAGUCUUGUUGUUGUGCGUGUGGAUUCAACUUCCAUUCAACGUUUCUUCGGGUCAAUGGGAGCAAACCAAAGAAAAAUUAGAGCGCCUAUUUAUUAGGUUGAUGUCGAUGGAUUUUCAAAAAAUAAAAUAAAAUAAAUUAGAGAUUUAUAAAACUUCCUUCAAUAAUAGGCCAUCAAGAAAUAAGCUUUUAUAUAUAUAUAUAUAUAUAUAUAUAUAUAUAUAUAUAUAUAUANNNNNNNNNNNNNNNAUAUAUAUACUUUUGUUUAUUGGCACUAUCUUAAUUUUCAUAUAUUUGAUCUGAAAAUUUUUGAUUAUAUAGGCAUAAAGGCAUCAGGUCCAGGACCAUCCAACCGAGUCCAAAAUUUUAUUAAAAAAUUUAAAGCAAAAAUAUUAGUUAAUUAAAUAUGUUCUAUAAAACAUAAAGACUAGCAUUCAAAAAUUUGUACAAUUUUUUUAUUCCUGAAUCAAACACUACCGAUUUUUAUUUGGCUUAAUUAGGCUAUACCAUGCUGUAUUUUAUAUAUAUUUUUCUCUUUCUAUAUCAUAUAAUUUUUGUAUUUUAAAAGUACCACUCAAUUAUUUUUUUUUCAAUUACUACACUAUAUGUUAUGAACCUAUAAUUUUAUAUAAAAAUUGUUAAAACAUACUUAUUAAAGUGACAAACUAAAUAUUCAACUCAUUUUGGUAUAAAAAAUAAUAAAAUUUAAAAAUUUAAAAAAUCAAAGAUAACUGGAUAAAAAAAUUUAGUGAGUUCAUCAUUGAGAUUAAUUUUAUAUUUUUCUACUAUUUAACUGGUGCCUCUUAAUAAAAUUAUUAGAUUUCGUCUAAAAUAAAAGAUUUAUUAAUUUGUAAUGUAAAAUUGGCAAGAUAAAAAAUUAGUAAUAUCUACGAAAAAAAAAAAUAGGAUAAAAAAUAAAAAUAAAUUUAAAAUAUAGUGUAGAAAUUGACAAACCAUAAUAUUACAAAGCUGUUUGUGGGGAAAAAAAUGUAUAAUACAAUAAAUAAAAAAUAAUACUAAAGUAUAAUAGAAUGGAGUGUAAUUAAGCCUUCUAAACUAUAGAUCUUAAACCCUAAAAAUGUAAGGUGCUGAUGUAUCAGCCAUAUUAUUUAGUGGAUAUAAGUAGGAGACCAAAAGAUUUUUUUUUUUUUUUGGGAAAACUUCAAAUACCAUUUCUGUGAUUUUAUACUUUCUCACUUUAAUAUUAUGUGAUUUAAAGUGUAUUAUAUUUUUUUAUUUUUGUUAUUUUCUUUACUAUUUUUUUUUAAAUCGGUGAUAAAAUAAAUAUUCGAUAACCAUAGAUAGGAUAUGUAAAGUUUUUUUUGUACAUUAUUUAACGAAAAAUUAAUAAAGGAGGUAACAAAAAAAAAAAUUCAAAAGGUACUAAAUUAAUAUACUUUAGAUUAUAAAAUAUUAAAGCGCAAAAUGCAGGAGUGAUAUUUGACCUAUUUAUUUUUUCUAAAUAUUUGACCAUUCCUCACUUGGAUUUUUUGACCAAGGAUGCGGACCUCCAAGUUCCACGAAGCUAAAAUAAAGAAGGAAAAAUAUUAUGCGGGGAGCGUCCUUACUCCUUAGAAGGGACACGAUCGAUGGCGCCCAUGCGACUUCCCCAUGGCGUCCUCCUCCUCCUCCUCCUCCUCCUCUCCGCCUUGUUCUUUCCCCAGCUGUGUACCCUCCGCGCCGAGAAGCCGCCCUUCUGGUACAGGACAACCAAUCUCUCCACCACCUGGGUCAACGACGAUUCCCUUCCCCAUGCCGACACCGUAAGUAAUAUGGGCGCGGACUCCAAUAUCGGAGUUCGCGCCAUACUUCUCCGCGCCAACCCGGCCGGAUUCGGCCCCUCCUUCGCCUGCGGCUUCUUCUGCACCGCCGAUUGCGACGCCUUCCUGUUCUCCGUAUUCAUCGUCUACAGCGACGGCGGCGGCGGCGGCAACAUCACCAACCCCGCCCCCGGCCCCCCGCACGUCGUCUGGGCCGCCAACCGCGGCCGCCCCGUCGGCCAGAACGCCACGCUCCAGCUCGCCGAAACCGGCGGCGGCUUGAUUCUCCGCGACGCCGACGGCACUCUAGUGUGGUCCGCAAACACGUCGAGCAAGAACGUGGCAGGUCUAAGCCUGACGGAAGCGGGAAACUUGGUGCUCUCCGAUCGCGCCAACGCCUCCGUCUGGCAGUCCUUCGACCACCCCACCGACACGCUCGUCAUCGGCCAGUCGCUGGCCGAGGGCAUGCGUCUCACCGCGAACCUCUCCGCCGCGAAUGACACCCCAAGCGAAUCACUGUACCUCGCCGUCUUCCCCGACGGUCUCCGCGCCUACAUCGACUCCGAUCCCCCGCAGCUCUACUAUUCAAAGGUGAUAACCCCCAGAAGCAGUAACGCAACAAGUAAGAAGUCAGCCUACGUGACCUUCCUGAAUGGCAGCCUUGCAAUCUCCACUUCAUUCACGGACCCCGACGAGGAGAUCCCCCUGCCCGCGGCCAGUACUGCAGCGUCUUUGCAGUUUAUGAGGUUGGAGCCUGACGGGCACUUAUGGCUUUACGAGUGGACCGGUAAAUACGCGAAGAUUGUAGAUGAUGUGAUGGAUAUGGACAGCUGCGAGUAUCCUACCGUAUGCGGCGACUAUGGCAUUUGCUCGAACAGCGGCCUGUGCAGCUGCCCUUCGGCAACCUACUUUCAGCCGGUUAACAAUCAGCUACCAGAUCUCGGGUGUGCCCAGUUGACACCUCUAUCUUGCCAAUCAACGCAAGAUCAUCAACUAUUACCUCUUAACAAUAUUACUUACUUCAAUUACAUCGACGCGCCGACGUUGCAGGGUGUCAGUGAAGAGAGUUGCAAGCAGGCCUGUUUGAAGAACUGUUCUUGCAAAGCUGCUCUGUUUAAGUAUGGCGGUAAUUCUUACAAUGGCUCCUGCUACUUGCCGUCGCACCUCUUUUCAUUGCAGACGAAUGAAAUUGUAAAGCCUUAUUAUAAUUCUUCUUCGUAUAUUAAGGUGCAGAACAUUCCAAAAUCCCCAACUUCUGCUUCACCCAAAAGCCCAGCCGAAAGCCCACCUGAAAGCCCAGCCGUUCCCAAGAAGAGUUCCAAAAGGAGAGCUCUGGUAGGGACUGCACUAGGAGUUGGAUUUUCUAUAAUGGUCCUCGCCAUUCUUAUUGUGAUUGCAGUACGUAAAUGUAUGGAAAGGGAAGAGGAGGAAGAGGAGGAACCAAUUUUCCAUCAAGUGCCAGGAAUGCCGAGAAUAUUUUCGUUCAAGGAGCUGAAAGAAGCAACUGACAACUUCUCCGAGAAGCUCGGAGAGGGAGGAUUCGGAUCCGUUUUCGAGGGCAAAAUAAACGACGUAAAGGUUGCCAUCAAACGCUUGGAUGGUAUAGGUCAAGGUAAGAAAGAGUUCUUCGCCGAGGUCGAGACUAUCGGCAGCAUUCACCACAUCAAUCUCGUUAAAAUGGUCGGAUUCUGCGCAGAGAAGACUCACAGGCUUUUGGUUUACGAGCACAUGUGUCACGGAUCACUCGACAAAUGGAUCUUCUACAAAGACCAAGCCACGCCCCUUGAUUGGCAAACUCGACGAAAAAUUAUCCUGGACAUAGCAAGAGGUCUAUCGUAUCUCCACGAAGAUUGCAGGCAAAAAAUUGCUCAUCUCGACAUCAAGCCGCAAAACAUCCUCCUAGAUGAGAAAUUCAAUGCAAAGGUUUCCGAUUUUGGAUUAGCGAAGCUAAUAGAUAGAGAUCAGAGUGAAGUAGUUACUCGAAUGAGAGGCACGCCGGGGUACUUAGCGCCGGAAUGGUUGACUUCAAUAAUCACCGAGAAGGUCGAUAUCUACAGCUUCGGUAUUGUCGUAACGGAGAUUAUCUGUGGGAGGAAGAACUUAGAUCAUUCCCAACCCGAAGAGAGUAUUCAUUUGAUUACCUUAUUGCAAGAAAAGGCGAAAACAAAUCGGUUGCUCGAUUUAGUUGAUAGUCACAUGAAUGAUUUACAAUUGCAGAAGGCAGAAAUAAUUGAAAUGAUGGAGCUUGCAAUGUGGUGCCUGCAGUGUGAUAGCAACAAAAGGCCUUCAAUGUCUACAGUGGUGAAGGUUUUGGAAGGUGCGAUGGGCGUGGAAACGAACCUGGAGUAUAAUUUUGUAGCUACUGGUACUCCAAUACCUAGCAGAGAUGGUUGUGCGGGUUCUUCAUUUGUUCCUCGUGCAUCUCUUUUAUCAGGGCCUAGGUAAAAGUAUAAUUUCUGUAUAACCUGUAAUUCUACUUGCUGGGUA